AUGAACAUCACCAUGUCGAGUGCCCCUUUAUCAGGUGACACGUGUGACUUCUACUUCAAACAUACAAAGGUGAAUCUUCUCCUGUACACGCGUCUACUUGGGCCCUUUGAGAACGGUAUACUACUUGACCCUCCAUCGUGCACGUAUAUGUCUGAGCGGAGUUUAAUGGACGAGGAGGAGGAGUGCAAGCACAACAGAACAUCUACACCAUCCGCGAAGGAAGUGUGGAAACGAAGAUGGAAGAAGCAUCAAGUGGAGCUGUUACAGAGCUGCAACCACUGGAAAUACGGUGCCACCAGAAGAGGAGCAACCAGAAAGUAG
This 321-nucleotide ribosomal RNA is filed under the name Triticum aestivum (bread wheat). RNAcentral describes it as "partial small subunit ribosomal RNA". The record is from RNAcentral. Lineage: Eukaryota; Viridiplantae; Streptophyta; Magnoliopsida; Poales; Poaceae.